UACGUAGGGUGCGAGCGUUAAUCGGAAUUACUGGGCGUAAAGCGUGCGCAGGCGGUUCGCUAAGACAGGUGUGAAAUCCCCGGGCUCAACCUGGGAAUGGCGCUUGUGACUGGCGGGCUAGAGUACGGCAGAGGGGGGUGGAAUUCCACGUGUAGCAGUGAAAUGCGUAGAGAUGUGGAGGAACACCGAUGGCGAAGGCAGCCCCCUGGGCCGAUACUGACGCUCAUGCACGAAAGCGUGGGGAG
RNAcentral lists this ribosomal RNA (245 nucleotides) under uncultured Azoarcus sp. RNAcentral describes it as "partial 16S ribosomal RNA". It matches the Rfam family "Bacterial small subunit ribosomal RNA", at positions 524 to 768 of the family's 1533-position model. The record is from RNAcentral. Lineage: Bacteria; Pseudomonadati; Pseudomonadota; Betaproteobacteria; Rhodocyclales; Zoogloeaceae.